RNAcentral lists this ribosomal RNA (351 nucleotides) under uncultured eukaryote. RNAcentral describes it as "SSU rRNA". It matches the Rfam family "Eukaryotic small subunit ribosomal RNA", at positions 587 to 972 of the family's 1831-position model. The record is from RNAcentral.
AGCUCCAAAAGCGUAUAUUAAAGUUGUUGCAGUUAAAAAGCUCGUAGUUGAACUUUGGGUGUGUGCCGCCGGUCCACUUCGGUGCGUACUGACCGGCACGCACCUUUCCUUCUGGUUUUCGGACCAGGACGUUUACUUUGAAAAAAUUAGAGUGUUCAAAGCAGGCAUAUUGCUCGAAUAUAUUAGCAUGGAAUAAGGGAAUAGGACAAUGGUUCUAUUUCGUUGGUUUUCAGUACCAUUGUAAUGAUUAAUAGGGACGGACGGGGGCAUCAGUAUUCCGUAGUCAGAGGUGAAAUUCUUGGAUUUACGGAAGACUAACUACUGCGAAAGCAUUUGCCAAGCACGUUUUCA